CCCAACUAUCCCUAUUAAUCAUUACGUCAAUCCUAGAAACCAACAAAAUAGGAUCGAACGUCCUAUUUCAUUAUUCCAUGCUAACGCUUGAAUACAUUAGCAUGGAAUAAUGAAAUAGGACGUUCGAUCCUAUUUCAUUAUUCCAUGCUAAUGUAUUCAAGCGUUAGCCUGCUUUAAACACUCUAAUUUUUUCAAAGUAACAGUCCAGAUUCCCUGCAACACCAAAUUAAUGGCAUUACAGUUCAUCAGGAAGGAGGAAUCAGUAAGACCAGUACAUACCGGUGGCAUGACCAGCCUACUAACCCCGAAAUUCAACUACGAGCUUUUUAACUGCAACAACUUUAAUAUACGCUAUUGGAGCUGGAAUUACCGCGGCUGCUGGCACCAGACUUGCCCUCCAA
This 401-nucleotide unclassified non-coding RNA is filed under the name uncultured Glomeraceae. RNAcentral's name for it is "sequence contains 18S rRNA gene". Lineage: Eukaryota; Fungi; Glomeromycota; Glomeromycetes; Glomerales; Glomeraceae. The record is from RNAcentral.